AUAAACAGAAGCAGCCUGAGCCUGUGGUAAAAACAGAAGUUUUGAGGCAAAAAUCUCAUUGUUGGGAGAUUGAUUAUUGUUGUUUUGACAAUUGUUGAGAUGGUGACAGAUAUGUGAGAUCAUUCGCAUUCCAUUGAUUUGUAUAUCUUUUGAAGUGCACUCAGCAAUUAUAUCUGCUAAAAAGAAGAAAAGUAAGUGUCAUCUACCCAAGUUACUGUGCCUUGAUUGUCAAAUUGUUUCAUUGCAGGUAAUAGAGUGCUAUGUCUGCUGAAAAGUUCCAUGUAGUUUGUGCUUCAGAAGCAAUGGUAGUGUUUAUCCAUUAUAGGAUCUUCCGAUAGAGAAUCUGGAAAUGCAUUAGCAUUGAUCAGAAAUUAAUUAGCAGCAGCACACACAUUAGAUAUGCUCUUUCUGCUAUCCCUAUAAAUUAUGUGUGCGUAGCUUUGGACAAUUUGUUUGUACCAUAAUCUCUAGGACGAAUGGCUUGUUGCAAUUAGCAAACAUUGUGGAAUGACAAUCGUGGGUUUUGAAUGCCA
Juglans microcarpa x Juglans regia is the source of this 533-nucleotide long non-coding RNA. RefSeq lists it as uncharacterized. Lineage: Eukaryota; Viridiplantae; Streptophyta; Magnoliopsida; Fagales; Juglandaceae. The record is from RefSeq and is a predicted model, not a curated record. The transcript is spliced from 2 exons.